RNAcentral lists this ribosomal RNA (625 nucleotides) under uncultured ciliate. RNAcentral describes it as "SSU rRNA". It matches the Rfam family "Eukaryotic small subunit ribosomal RNA", at positions 334 to 972 of the family's 1831-position model. Lineage: Eukaryota; Ciliophora. The record is from RNAcentral.
UAUUGGACUACCAUGGCAGUCACGGGUAACGGAGAAUUAGGGUUCGAUUCCGGAGAGGGAGCCUGAGAAACGGCUACCACAUCUAAGGAAGGCAGCAGGCGCGUAAAUUACCCAAUCCUGAUUCAGGGAGGUAGUGACAAGAAAUAACGGACCGAGGCCCUCGGGCUUCGGGAUUGCAAUGAGCCGAAUUUACACCCCUUAGCGAGGAUCGAUUGGAGGGCAAGUCUGGUGCCAGCAGCCGCGGUAAUUCCAGCUCCAAUAGCGUAUAUUAAAGUUGUUGCAGUUAAAAAGCUCGUAGUUGGAUUUCUGGGAGGAUGCUAAUGUCCGUCGUUGUACGUGUGCAGCAGCGUCCUUCCAUCCUUCUGUUAACGCCUCUUGGCAUUCAUUUGCUGGUGGCGGGCUCAGAUAUUUUACCUUGAGAAAAUUAGAGUGUUUCAGGCAGGCUAGGCCGGAAUACAUUAGCAUGGAAUAAUGGAAUACGACUACGGUCUCUUUGUUGGUUUGAGGGACUGCAGUAAUGAUUAAUAGGGAUAGUUGGGGGCAUUAGUACUUAACUGCCAGAGGUGGAAUUCUCGGAUUUGUUAAAGACUAACUUAUGCGAAAGCAUUUGCCAAGGAUGUUUUCA